GACGAAGGGGGCUAGCGUUGUUCGGAAUUACUGGGCGUAAAGCGCGUGUAGACGGUUGUCAAAGUCGGGUGUGAAAGCCUUGAGCUUAACUCAAGAAAUGCACUCGAUACUUGGUGACUAGAGGACCGGAGAGGAUAGUGGAAUUCCCAGUGUAGUGGUGAAAUACGUAGAGAUUGGGAAGAACACCAGUGGCGAAGGCGGCUAUCUGGACGGUUUCUGACGCUAAGACGCGAAAGCGUGGGGAGCAAACAGG
This 253-nucleotide ribosomal RNA is filed under the name uncultured bacterium. Its description in RNAcentral is "partial 16S ribosomal RNA". It matches the Rfam family "Bacterial small subunit ribosomal RNA", at positions 524 to 776 of the family's 1533-position model. The record is from RNAcentral.